AAAGCAGGCUGUCCUGUCGCGAUGCAUUUAGGUGCAGUGAGGAAAGUCCGGGCAACAUAGAGCAGCAUACUUCCUAACGGGAAGCCGGUUUGCGAAAAUCAAACCGAGAGCAAGUGCCACAGAAAACAACCGCCUGCACGCCAUGGGCAGUGUAGGUAAGGGUGAAAACGGGAGGUAAAAGCUCCCGCCCUAUGCAGGCGACUGUAGAGGGGGGUAAACCUUAUGCGUUGAAAGACCAAAUAAACCGAGGCUUGAGGGUAGCUCGCCCAAACUCGGAGGGUAGGUCGUUAGAGCUGAAGCGUGAGUUUCAGUCCAGACAAAUGACAGGAAUCUCGCUUAUGCGAGAAACAGAACCCGGCUUAUAGGCCUGUUUUUUUA
This 378-nucleotide RNase P RNA is filed under the name Bacteroidales bacterium. RNAcentral describes it as "RNase P RNA component class A". It matches the Rfam family "Bacterial RNase P class A". From Rfam's summary of the family: Ribonuclease P (RNase P) is a ubiquitous endoribonuclease, found in archaea, bacteria and eukarya as well as chloroplasts and mitochondria. Its best characterised activity is the generation of mature 5'-ends of tRNAs by cleaving the 5'-leader elements of precursor-tRNAs. The record is from RNAcentral. Lineage: Bacteria; Pseudomonadati; Bacteroidota; Bacteroidia; Bacteroidales.